AAUACCUUUAAGGCUGGUCCAGAGAGACUAGAAAGGGAAGAGCAAUAGACAUAUGAUAUCUAUAUAAUUUUGUAGGAUAACUAUGCCUUCCCUUUGGGAAGGCAUUUUUUAUA
Clostridium amylolyticum is the source of this 113-nucleotide non-coding RNA. The record is from Rfam. Lineage: Bacteria; Bacillati; Bacillota; Clostridia; Eubacteriales; Clostridiaceae.